GCUGCAAACUACGUAAGAGCUAGCGAAUCUCAAAAAGAAUAGUCUCAGUUCGGAUUGUGGGCUGCAACCCGCCCACAUGAAGUCGGAGUUGCUAGUAAUCCCGAAUCAGCAUGUCGGGGUGAAUGCGUUCCCGGGCCUUGUACACACCGCCCGUCACGCCAUGGGAGCUGGUAAUACCCAAAGUCGGUACACCAACCGCAAGGAGGAAGCCGCCUAAGGUAGGAUCAGUGACUGGGGUGAAGUCGUAACAAGGUAAC
This 257-nucleotide ribosomal RNA is filed under the name uncultured bacterium. RNAcentral's name for it is "partial 16S ribosomal RNA". It matches the Rfam family "Bacterial small subunit ribosomal RNA", at positions 1246 to 1500 of the family's 1533-position model. The record is from RNAcentral.